CCUACGGGCUGCAGCAGUGGGGAAUAUUGCGCAAUGGGCGAAAGCCUGACGCAGCGACGCCGCGUGAGGGAUGAAGGUCUUCGGAUCGUAAACCUCUGUCAGCAGGGAAGAACGGUCACUGUGCUAAUCAGCAGUGAAUUGACGGUACCUGCAAAGGAAGCACCGGCUAACUCCGUGCCAGCCGCCGCGGUCAUACGGAGGGUGCGAGCGUUAAUCGGAAUUACUGGGCGUAAAGCGCUCGUAGGCGGUAUGUCAAGUCAAGGGUGAAAUCCCCGGGCUCAACGUGGGAACUGCCUUUGAAACUGGCAAACUGGAGUGUGUGAGAGGAUAGUGGAAUUCCAGGUGUAGGAGUGAAAUCCGUAGAUAUCUGGAGGAACAUCAGUGGCGAAGGCGACUAUCUGGCACAUAACUGACGCUGAGGAGCGAAAGCGUGGGUAGCAAACAGGAUUAGAUACCCUAGUAGUC
RNAcentral lists this ribosomal RNA (465 nucleotides) under uncultured bacterium. Its description in RNAcentral is "partial 16S ribosomal RNA". It matches the Rfam family "Bacterial small subunit ribosomal RNA", at positions 338 to 795 of the family's 1533-position model. The record is from RNAcentral.